Non-coding RNA from Fusarium torreyae, 95 nucleotides. The record is from the annotation of a GenBank genome assembly. Lineage: Eukaryota; Fungi; Ascomycota; Sordariomycetes; Hypocreales; Nectriaceae.
GGGCGAAUGGUUUAGUGGUAUAAUACUCCCUUAGCAAGGUCCUCUUAAGGUCCUCCUCCUGGGAGUGGUCCAGGGUUCGAUUCCCUGUUCGUCCA